UCUGGCGUAGCCGGCAGGUGAUUUUGCAUGUCCGGUGGUGGUUCCGGCGAGUCGAGCUGGUUGUUCCCAGCAUGUCCGGCAGGUGGUUCCGGUCUGUCCGGCAGGUGGUUCUGGCGUGUCCGGCACGAGGUUCUGGCACGUCUGAGAGGUGGUUCCGGCAUGCCCGACAGGUGAUUCCGGAGUGUCCGCCACGUGGUUCUGGCGUACCCGGCAGGUGAUUUUGGCGUGUCUGGCAGGUGUUUCUUGCAAGUCGAGCAUGUGGCUCAGGCAUGCUCAGCACGUGCUUCCGGCGUGUCCGGCACGUGGUUCUGGUGUGUCUGAGAGCUGGUUCUGGCAUGUCCGGCAGAUGAUUCCGGAGUGUCCGCCAAGUGGUUCUGGCAUACCUGGCAGGUGAUUUUGGCGUGUCAGGUAGGUGGUUCCGGCGAGUCGAGUAGGUGGUUCCGGCGUGCUCGGCAGGUGGUUCAGGCGGGUCUGGCAGGUGGUUUCGGUAUGUUCGGGAUGUGGUUCCGGCAUCUCAGGCACAUGGUUCUGGCACGUCUGAGAGGUGGUUCUGGACGGCCCGACAGGUGUUUCAAUGGUGUCCGCCAAGUGGUUCUGGCAUAGCUGGCAGGUGAUUUUGCAUGUCCGGCGGUGGUUCCAGUGAGUCGAGACGGUGGUUGCAUCAUGUCCGGCAGGUGGUUCUGGUCUGUCCGGCAGGUGGUUCUGGCGUGUCCGGCACGAGGUUAAGGCACGUCUGAGAGGUGGUUCCGGCAUGCCCGACAGGUGAUUCCGGAGUGUCCGCCACGUGGUUCUGGCGUACCCGGCAGGUGAUUUUGGCGUGUCUGGCAGGUGUUUCUUGCAAGUCGAGCAUGUGGCUCAGGCAUGCUCAGCAGGUGCUUCCGGUGUCAUAGGCACGUGGUUCUGGCAUGUCUGAGAGAUGGUUCCGGCAUGCCUGGCAGGUGAUUCCGGAUUGUUCCCCAAGUGGUUCUGACGUAGCCGGCAGGUGAUUUUGCAUGUCUGGCGGUGGUUCAUGCGGGUCGAGCCGCUUGUUCUCGGCAUGUCCGGCAGGUGGCUGCGGUCUGUCCGGCAGGUGGUUCUGGGGUGUCUGGCACCAGUUCUGGCACGUCUGAGAGUUGGUUCCUGCAUGCCCGGCAGGUGAUUCCGGACUGCGCCCCAGGUGUUUCCCGCAUAGCCAGCUGUUGACUUUGGCGUGUCCAGCAGGUGGUUCCGGAGAGUCGGGCAGGUGGCUACGGUGUGCUUGGCAGGUGGUUCCAGCAUGUCUGGCAGGUGGUUCCGGUCUGUCCGGUAUGUGUUUCCGGCGUGUCUGACACGUCCUUCUGGCAUGUCUGAGAGGUGGUUCCGGCAUGCGCGAGAGAUGAUUCCGGAGUGUCAGCCAGGUGGUUCUGGCGUACCCGGCAGGUGAUUUUGGCGUGUCAGGUAGGUGGUUCCGGCGAGUCAAGCAGGUGGUUCCGGCGUGCUUGGCAGGUGGUUCAGGCGGUUCUGGCAGGCGGUUUCCGUCUGUUUGGGUUGUGGCUCCGGCAUCUCAUGCACAUGGUUCUGGCACGUCUGAGAUGUGGUUCCGGCCGGCCCGACAGGUGUUUGGGCAGUGUCCGCCAAGCAGUUCUGGUGUAGUUGGCAGGUGAUUUUGGCAUGACCGGCAGGUGGUUCCAGCAAGCCCGGCCCGUGAUAACGAAGUGUUCACCAACUGGUUGUGUCGCAGCCGGCAGGUGAUUUUUGCGUGUCUGGCAGGUGGUUCUGGCGAGUCGAGCAGGUGGUUCCAGCGUGCUCGGCAGGUGCUUCCGGGGUCAUUGGCACGUGGUUCUGGCAUGUCUGAGAGGUGGUUCUGGCAUGCCCGGCCGGUGAUUCCGGAGUGUUUGCCAAGUGCUUCUCGCAUAGACUUCAGGUGAUUUUGUAUGUCUGGCAUUGGUUCCGGAGGGUCGAGCCGGUGGUUCCUGCAUGCUCGACCGUUGGAUCUGGCAGGUCCGGCAGGUGGUUCCGGUCUGUCCGGGAGGUGGUUCCGGCGUGUCUGGCAUAUGGUUCCGGCACGUCUGAGAGGUGGUUCUAUCAUGCCCGGCAGGUGAUUCCAGAGAGUCCACCAACUCGUUCUGGCGUAGCCGGCAGGUGAUUUUUGCGUGUCCAGCAUGUGGUUCUGGCGAGUCGAGCAGGUGGUUCCGGCGUGCUCGGCAGGUGCUUCCGGGGUCAUUGGCACAUGGUUCUGGCAUGUGUGAGAGGUGGUUCCGGCAUGCGCGGCAUGUGGUUCCGGCGUGUCUGGCAGGUGCUUCUGGUCUGUCCGGGUGCUGGUUCCGGCAUGGCCGGCACGUGGUUCUGGCACAUCUGUGAGGUGCUUCAGGCGUGCCUGGCAGGUGAUUCCUGGGUGUCUGCCAAGUGGUUCUGGCGUCACCGGCAGGUUAUUUUGGUGUGUCCGGCAGGUCUUUCCUGCUUUUUGCGCUCAUGGCUCUGGCUUGUAAGACAGAUGCUUGUGGCACUUCUGGCCCCCGUUCUUUCAUACUCAGCUGGUUUCAGAGUUUCUGGCUCCUGUUUGUGGCAUAUCCAACAGGUGUUUACAAUGUGUCUGGCAUGUCGUUGUGCUAUGUUUGGAAUCUGGUUCCGUCAUGUCAUUGUGUGCGGCUGGCAUGUUGAAGAGAUGGUUCUGCAGUGUCAGAAUCACUGUUCCACUGUGUCCGGCAGGUGGUUACAGGUGGUUCUGGCAUGCAACGUGCGUGCUUCUGGUAUGCCUGUUGGGUCAUACUGGCAUGAAUGUGUGGCCCUUUGAGAGUGUGCAGAGGGUGUUUUUGGCAUGUCUCCCGGGGUUUUCUGGCACAUAAGGGGCAUGAUUCCUUUUUAUACGUCAGGUGAGUUUGCUCUCAGCUUCCUAAAGAGAAGGAAGGAAGAUGGUCUGUGGCUUGUGGCCCCUUGAGGGGUGGGGCCAAUGCAUUGUGCAUUGCAAUCUAGAGCAAUGGAGGGUAUGGCUGAGAGCAAAAGGGUCUUUCUGACAUAGCUGCAUUCUGACACUCUCUCCACCAGUGCACAAUGGUGUUUGGAAAAAGGCUUACAGUCUGUCGCCUCCUGAGCAGGUGGAUGCUAAAUCAUUUGGGACUCAGCCCAGUUGCUUCAGGGGAAGAUGUAGGCAUUUCGUCUGAGCAAGGUUGGCAAGGUAGAACUGCGGCAGAAGCAGAAGUCCUAAAGCGGCGAGUUAAGCGCUGGGAAGAAAUGGCAUUUGAGCUGACUUUGUAUGAGAGAUUCCUCGUAUGUUGUACAACACUGUGGAAAGCGAGUUCUUUCUCAGCUUCCUAAAGAGCUGGAGGCAAGACAGUUUAUGGCUUCUCUCUCAUUGAAGGAUUGAGGCAGUGCUUUGUGCCUUCCACCUGCAGAGCAAUGGAGGGCACGGCUGAGAGCAAAGGGGGCUUUCUGCCAUUGGUGCUUUCUGAUACCCUUCAGGGGUGGUGCCAGUGCCUUGUGCCUCCUACCUCUAGAGGAAUGGAGGGCAAGACCAAGAGUAAAGGGACUUUCUGAAAUUGGUGGUUUCUGACACUGCCCCAACCAUUGCUCAAGGGCGGUUGGUUAAAAGCCUAUUGUCUGUCUCCUCCUCAGCAUGUGGAACCACAAUCAUCCGGGCCUCGUCCCCAUUGCUCAAGGGGAAGAUGUAGGCAUUUCGUCUGAGCCGGGUUGGCAAGGUGGAAAUGCGGCAGAAGCGGAUGUUGCAGAUUGGCGAGUUAAGGGCUGAAAAGACACGGCAUUCAGCUGCCUUGCUAUGAGAUGUUCCCAGGACGCUGUAAGAGCACUGUGGAAUGCGAGUGCUUUCCCAGCUUCCUAAAGAGCUGGAAGCAGGACAGUUGAUGGCUUGUCUGCAAUUGAAGGAUGGAGGCAGUGCUUUGUGCCUUCCACCUCUAGAGCAAUGGAGGGCACGGCUGAGAGCAAAGGGACCUUUCUGACAUUGGUGCUUUCUGGCACUCCCCCAACCAUUGCUCAAGGGCGGUUGGUUAAAAGCCUAUUGUCUCUCUCCUACUAAGCAGGUGCAAAAACAAUCAUUCGGGCCUCGUCCCCAUUGCUUAAGGGGAAGUUGUAGGCAUUUCGUCUGAGCCGGGUUGACAAGGUGGAAAUGUGGCACAUGCAGAUGUUCCAGAUCGGCGAGUGAAGUGCUGCAAGAAACGGCGUUCAGCUGCCUUUGUAUGAGAUGUUCCCUGGACGCUCUAAGAGCACUAUGGAAUGCGAGCUCUUUCUCAGCGUCCUAAAGAGCUGGACGCAAGAAGGUGUGUGGUUCGUCUGCCAUUGAGGGGUGGAGCCAGAGGCAGUGCAUUGUGCCUUCCUCCUCUAGAGCAAUUCAGGGCAUGGCUGAGAUCAAAUGGACCUUUCUGACAUAGGUGCUUUCUGACACUCUCUCCACCAGUGCACAACCGUGAUUGUAAAAAGCCUGUCUCUCUCCUCUUAAGCAUGUGGAAGCACAGUCAUAUGGGCCUCGUCCCCGUUGCUGAAGGGUAAGAUGUAGGCAUUUCGUCGGAGCCCGGAUGGCAAGGUGGAAAUGUGGCAGAAACAGAAGUUCCAAAUCGGCAAGUUAAGGGCUGAAAAGAAAUGGCGUUUCAGCUGCCUUUGUAUGAGAUGUUCCCUGGACUCUGUAAGAUCACUGUUGAAAGUGAGUUCCUUCUCAGCUUCCUAAAGAGAUGGAAGCAAGGUGGUCUGUGGCUUGUCGCCCCUUGAGGGGGGGAGCCAGUGCAUUGUGCAUUCCACGUCUAGAGCAAUGGAGGGCACGGCUGAGACCAAAGGGGUCUUUCUGACAUAGCUGCUUUCUGACACUCUCUCCAGCAGUGCACAAUGGUGGUUGGAAAAAGGCGUGCAGUCUAUCGCCUCCUAAGCACGUGGACGCUCAAUCAUUUGGGACUCAGGCCAGUUGCUUCAGGGGAAGAUGUAGGCAUUUCGUCUGAGCUGGGUUGGCAAGGUGCAAUUGUGGCAGAAGCAGAAGUUCUAAAGUGGCGAGUUAAGGGCUGGCAAGAAAGGCCGUUUUACCUGCAUUUCUAUGACAGUUUCCCCAGAGGCGGUUCCCGGGAGUCGAGCAGGUGUUUCCAGAAUGCUCAGCAGGUGGUUCCAGUCUUUCACGGAAGAGGCCUGGGGCGUCCAGCACCUGGUUCUGGCACAUCUGAGGGGCGGUUCCGGGAUGAAUGGCAGGUUAUUCCGGAGUGUCGGCAAGUGGUUCUGGCGUAGCCGGCAGGUGAUUUUGGUGUCUCCAGCAGAUGGUUCCACCAAGUCGAGCAGGUGGUUCCAGCGUGCUCGUAAGGUGGUUCAGGCAUGUCCGAAAGGUGGUUCCGGUUAGUCCGGGAGGUGGUUCCGGCGUGUCCGGCACGUUUUUCAGGCACGUCUGAGGGGUGGUUCCGGCAUGCACGGCAGGUGAUUCCGGAGUGUCCGCCAAGUGGUUCCCGUGUAGCCGGCAGGUGGUUCAGGCGGGUCCAGCAGGUGGUUCUGGGGAGUGGAUCAGGUGGUUCCGGCACGCCAGGCAGGUGAUUUUGGAGUGUCCGGCAAGUGGUUCUGGCAUAGCCGGCAGCUGAUUUGGCAUGUCCGGCAGGUGGCUCCAGCGAGUCAAGCAGGUUGUUCCGGCAUGCUCAGCAGGUGGUCCCGGCGUGUCCAGCAGGUGGUUCCGGUCUGUCCUGGAGGUGGUUGCAGAUUGUCUGCCGAGUGGUUGUGGCGUAGCCGGCAGGUGAUUUUGGCGUGUCCAGCAGGUGUUCCUGGGGAGUGGAUCAGGUGGUUCCGGCAUACCGGGCAUGUGUUACCAGCAUGUCCAGAACAAGGUUCCGGCAAGUCUGAGAGGUGGUUCCGGCAUGCCGACAGGUGAUUCCGGAGUGUCCGCCAAGUGGUUCUGGCAUACCCGGCAGGUGAUUUUGGCGUGCCCGGCAGGUGGUUCUGACGAGUCAAGCAGGUGGUUCCGGUGUGCUCGGCAGGUGCUUACAGUGUCAUUGGCAUGUGGUUCUGGCAUGUCUGAGAGGUGGUUCCGGCGUGCUCGGCAGGUCCUUCCGGUGUCAUUGGCAUGUGGUUCUGGCAUGUCUGAGAGGCGGUUCCGGCAUGCCCGGCAGGUGAUUCCGGAGGGUUCGCCAAGUGGUACUGGCAUAGCCAGCAGUUGUUUGUGGCGUGUCAGGUAGGUGGUUCCGACGAGUCGAGCAGGUGGAUCCGGCGUGCUCGGCAGGUGGUUCAGGCGGCUCUGGCAGGUGGUUUCGGUCUGUUGGGGUGUGCUUCCGGCAUCUCAGGCACAUGGUUCUGGCACAUCUGAGAGGUGGUUCCGGCCGGCCCGACAGGUGUUUCCGGAGUGUACGCCAAGUGGUUCUGGCGUAGCUGACAGGUGAUGUGGGCGUGACCAGCAGGUGGUUCCAGCCAGCCCGGCAGGUGAUUCCGAAGUGUUCACCAACUGGUUGUGGCGUAGCCGGCAGGUGAUUUUGGCGUGUCUGGCAGGUGGUUCUGGCGAGUCGAGCAGGUGGUUCCAGCGUGCUCGGCAGGUGCUUCCGGUGUCAUUGGCAUGUGGUUCUGGCAUGUCUGAGAGGUGGUUCCGGCAUGCCCGGCAGGUGAUUCCGGAGUGUUCGCCAAGUGGUUCUGGCAUAGCCGGCAGGUGAUUUUGCAUGUCCGGCAGUGGUUCCGGAGAGUCGAGCCAGUGGUUCCGGUGUGUCUGGCAGGUGGUUCCGGUCUGUCCUAGAGGUGGUUGCGGAGUGUCUGACGAGUGGUUCUGGCGUAGCCGGCAGGUGAUUAUGGCAUGUCCAGCAGGUGGUUCUGGGGAGUGGAUAAGGUGGUUCCGGCAUACUCGGCAGGUGGUACUGGCAUGUCCGGAACAUGGUUCUGGCAAGUCUGAGAGGUGGUUCCGGCAUGCCCGACAGGUGAUUCUGCAGUGUUCGCCAAGUGGUUCCGGCGUGUCCGGCAGGUGGUUCCGGUGUGUCCGGCAGGUGGUUCUGUGGUGUCCGCCACGAGGCUCUGGCACGUCUGAGAGGUUGUGUUGGCAUGCCCUUCACGUGAUUCCGGCUUGUCCCCCAAGUGAUUCUCCUGUAGCGGGCAGGUGAUAUUGGCAUGUCAGGCAGGUGGGACUGGUGAGUCAAGCAGGUUGCUCCGGCGAGUGUUUCCUUUGGUUCCGGUCUUUCCGGGAGAUGGUUCCGGCCUGUCCGGCACGUGCUUCUGGCACUUCAGAGAGGCUGUGCUGGCAUGCCCGGCAGGUGAUUCUGGAGUGUCCGCCAAGUGGUUCUGGCGUAGCCGGCCGGUGAUUUUGGCGUGUCCGGCAGGCGGUUCUGUGGAAUGGAUCAGGAACUUCCGGCAUUCUCGGCAGGUGCUUCCGCCGUCUCCGGCAUGUGGUUGUGGCACCUCUGAGAGGUGGUUCCAGCAUGCCCGGCAGGUGAUUCCGGAGUGUCCGACAAGUGGUUGUGGCGUAGCCGGCUGGUGAUUUUGGCGUGUCUGGCAGGUGGUUCUGGCGAGUCAAACAGGUGGUCCCGGCGUGUCAGGCAGGUGGUUCCGGUCUAUCUUGGAGAUGGUUCCGGAGUGUCUGCAGAGUGGUUCUGGCGUAGCUGGCAGGUGAUUUUGGCAUGCAAAGCAGGUGGUUCUGCAGAGUGUAUCAGGUGGUUCCGGCAUACUCGGCAGGUGGUACCGGCGUGUCCGGAACAUGGUUCUGGCAAGUCUGAGAAGUGGUUCUGGCAUGCCCGAAAGGUGAUCCUGGAGUGUCCUCCAAGUGGUUCUGGCAUACCCGGAAGGUGAUUUUGGCGUGUCCGGCAGGGGGUUCUGGAGAGUCGAGCAGGUGGUUCCGGCAUGCUCGGCAGGUCCUUCCAGUGUCAUUGGUAUGUGAUUCCGGCAUGUCUGAGAGGUGGUUCCGGCAUGCCCGGCUGGUGAUUCCGGAGUGUUCACCAAGUGGUUCUUGCAUAGCCGGCAGGUGAUUUUGGCGUGUCAGGUAGUUGGUUCCGGCGAGUCGUGCAGGUGGUCCCGGCGUGCUCGGCAGGUGGUUCAGGCGGGUGUGGCAGGUGGCUUCGGUCUGUUCGGGGUGUGGUUCCGGCAUCUCAGGCACAUGGUUCUGGCACGUCUGAGAGGUGGUUCCGGCCGGCCCGACAGGUGUUUCCGGAGUGUCCGCCAAGUGGUUCUGGCGGAGCUGACAGGUGAUGUGGGCGUGACCGGCAGGUGGUUCCAGCCAGCCCGGCUGGUGAUUCCGAAGUGUCCACCAACUGGUUGUGGUGUAGCCGGCAAGUGAUUUUGGCAUGUCCGGCAGCUGGUUCUGGGGAGUCGUGCAGGUGGUUCCGGCCGGCCUGACAGGUGUUUCUGGAGUGUCCGCCAAUUGGUUCUGGCGUAGCUGGCAGGUGAUUUUGCAUGUCCAGCAGUGGUUCCGGCGAGUCGAGCCGGUGGUUCCGGCGUGUCCGGCAGAUGGCUCCAGUGUGUCCGGCAGGUGGUUCUGGGGUGUCCAGCACGAGGUUCUGGCACGUCAGAGAGGUUGUGUCGGCAUGCCCUUCACGUGAUUUUGGCUUGCCUGCCAAGUGGUUCUGGUGUAGCAGGCAGGUGAUUUUGGCGUUUCCGGCUGGUGGUUCUGUGGAGUGGAUCAGGAACUUCCAGCAUUCUCGGCAGGUGCUUCCAGCAUCUCCGGCAUGUGGUUGUGGCACCUCUGAGAGGUGGUUCCAGCAUGCCCGGCAGGUGAUUCCGGAAUGUCUGACAAGUGAUUGUGGCGUAGCCGGCUGGUGAUUUUGGCGUGUCCGGCAGGUGGUUCUGGUGAGUCAAGCAGGUGGUCCCGGCGUGUCCAGCAGGGGGUUCCGGUCUGUCCUGGAGGUGGUUCCGGAGUGUCUGCCGAGCGUUUCUGGCGUAGCCGGAAGGUGAUUUUGGCGUGUCCAGCAGAUGGUUCUGGGGAGUGGAUCAGGUGGUUCCGGCAUACUCGGCAGGUGGUUCCGGCGUGUCCGGCACAUGGUUCUGGCACGUCUGAGAGGUGGUUCCGGCAUGCCUGUCACGUGAUCCCGGAGAGUCCUCCAAGUGGUUCUCGCGUACCCCGCAGGUGUUUCUGCUGUGUCCGGCAGGUGGCUCUGGUGAGUCGAGCAGGUCGUUCCAGUGUGCUCGGCACGUGGUUCAGGCAGGUCCAGCAGGUAUUUGCAGUCUGUCCAUGAAGUGGUUCUGGCAUGCCCGCAAGGUGAUUCUGGAGUGUCCACCAAUUGGCUUUGGCGUAGCCGGCAUAUGAUUUUGGCCUGUGAGGCAGGUGGUUCCGGCAUGUCCAGCAGGUGGUUCCGGCGAGUUCGGCAGGUGCUUGCGGUCUCUCCGGCAUGUGGUUGUGGCACAUCUGAGAGAUGGUUCCGGCAUGCCCGGCAGGUGAUUCCGGAGUCUCCGGCAUGUGGUUCUGGCACCUCUGAGAGGUGGUUCCGGCAGGCCCGGCAGGUGAUUCCGGAGUGUCUGCCGAGUGUUUCUGGCACCUCUGAGAGGUGGUUCCAUCAUGCCCUGCAUGUGAUUCCGGAGUGUCUGCCGAGUGGUUCUGACGUAGCCAGCAGGUGAUUUUGGCGUGUCCAGCAGCUGGUUCUGGUUAGUGGAUCAGGUGGUUCCGGCAUACUCGGCAGGUUGUACCGGCGUGUCCAGAACAUGGCGCUGGCAAGUCUGAGAGGUGGUUCCGGCAUGCCGGACAGGUGAUUCCGGAGUGUCCGCCAAGUGGUUCUGGCAUACCCGGCAGGUGAUUUUGGCAUGUCCGGCAGGUGAUUCUGGUGAGUCGAGCAGGUGUCUCUGGCAAGCUCGGCGGGUGCUUCUGGCGUCUCCGGCACGUGGUUCUGGUGUGUCUGCGAGCUGGUUCCGGCAUGUCCAGCAGAUGAUUCCGGAGUGUCCGCCAAGUGGUUCUAGCAUACCCGGCAGGUGGUUUUGGCAUGUCAGGUAGGUGGUUCCAGCGUGCUAGGCAGGUCGUUCAAGCGGGUCUGGCAGGUGGUUUCGGUCUGUUCGGGGUGUGGUUCCGGCAUCUCAUGCACAUGGUUCUGGCACGUCUGAGAGGUGGUUCCGGCCGGCCCGACAGGUGUUUCUGCAGUGUCCACCAAGUGGUUCUGGCGUAGUUGGCAGGUGAUUUUGGCAUGACCGGCAGGUGGUUCCAGCAAGCCCGGCAGGUGAUUGGGAAGUGUUCACCAACUGGUUGUGGCGUAGCCGGCAGGUGAUUUUUGCGUGUCCGGCAGGUGGUUCUGGCGAGUCGAGCAGGUGGUUCUGGCCUGCUCGGCAGGUGCUUCCGGCAUCUCCGGCACGUGUUUCUGGCACAUGUGACAGGUGGUUCCGGCAUGCCCUGCAGGUGAUUCUAGAGUGUCUGGCAAGUGGUUCUGGCAUUGCCGGCUGGUGCUGUUGGCGUGUCCAGCAGGUGGCUCCAACGAGUCGACUAGGUUGUUCCGGCGUGCUCAGCAGGUGGUUCAGGCGGGUCCGGCAUGUGGUUCCGGUCUGUCCUGUAGGUCGUUCCGACCUGUCCGGCACGUGCUUCCGGCACAUCUGAUAGGUGGUUCUGGCAUGCGCGGUAGGUGAUUCCGGACUGUCUGCCAGGUGGUUCCUGUAUAGACAGCUGUUGAGUGUGGCUGGUCCGGCAGGUGGUACCGGUGAGUCGAGCAGGUGGCUCCGGCGUGUCUGGCAGGUGGUUCCGUUCUGCCCGAUAGUUUGUUCCGGCAUGUCCGGCACAUGCUUCUGGCACGUCUGAGAGGUGGUUCUUGCAUGCCAGGCAGGUGAUACCGGAGUGUCGGGUAAGUGGUUCUGGUGUAGCCCCAGUUCCUUUUGGCAUGUCUGGCACAUGGUUCCUGCAAGUACAGCAGGUGGUUCCGGCGUGCUCGGCAGCUGGUUCCGGCAUGUCUGGCAGGUGGGUCCGGUCUGUCUGGUAGGUGUUUCCGGUGCGUUCAGCACCUGCUUCCAGCAUGUCUGAGAGGUGAUUCCAGCAUGCGAGGCAGGUGAUUCCUGAGUGUCCGCCAGGUGGUUCUGGCGUACGCGGCAGGUAAUUUUGGUGUGUCCGGCAGGUGUUUCUCGCGAGUCGAGCAGGUUGCUCCGGCAUGCUCGGCAGGUGGUUCCAGUCUGUCUGGUAGGUGUUUCUGGCGUGUCCGGAACGUGCUUCUGGCUUGUCUGAGAGGUGGUUCCGGCAUGCGCGGCAGGUGAUUUUGGCGUGUCCGGCAGGUGUUUCUGGCGAGUCGAGCAGGUUGCUGCGGCAUGCUCGGCAGGUGCUUCCGGCGUCUCCGGCACGUGGUUCUGGUGUGUCCGAGAGCUGGUUCCGGCAUGUCUGGCAGCUGAUCCCGGAGAGUCCUCCAAGUUGUUCUGGCAUAGCCCACAGGUGAUUUUGGCAUGUCCGGCAGGUGGUUCCGGCGUGCUCGGCAGGUGGUUCAGGCAUGUCCGGCAGGUGGUGCCGGUCUGUCCGGGAGGUGGUUCCGGCAUGUAAGGCACGUGGUUCUGGCACGUAGGAGAAGUGGUUCUGGCAUGCCCAGCAUGUGAUUCCAGAGAGUCCGCCAAGUGGUUCUGGCGUAACCGGCAGGUGAUUUUGGCGUGUCCAACAAGUGGUUCAGGCGAGAUGAGCAGGUGGUCCCGUCUGCGCAGGAGGUGCUUCCGGUGUGUUUGGCACAUGGUUUGGCCUGUCUGAGAGGUGGUUCCGGCAUGCCCGGCAGGUGAUUCCGGAGUAUCCAACAAGUGGUUCUGGCAUAGCCGGCUGGUGACUUGGGCGUGUUGGGCUGGUGCUUCCAGCAAGUCGAGCUUGUGGUUCUGGCGGGCUCAGCAGGUGGUUCAGGCGUUUUGGGCAGGUGGUUCCAGUCUUUCCUAUAGGUGUUUUCGGCGUGUCCCGCACAUGGUUCUGCCAUGUCUGAGAGUUGGCUCUGGCAUGCCCGGCAGGGGAUCCCAGACUGUCCCCAACGUGGUUCUGGCAUAGCUGGCAGGUGAUUUUGGCACGUCCAGCAGGUGGUUCCGGUGAUUCGAGCAGGUGGUCCCGGCGAGCUGGGCUGGUCGUUCACGUGUGUCUGACAGGUUGUUCCUGUCUGUCCGGGAGGUGGUUCCGGGGGGUACAGCAGGUGGUUCUGGCCUGUCCGGCAGGUGGUUCUGGGGUGUCCGCCAAGUAGUUUGGCAUAGCCGGCAGGUGAUUUUGGCGUGUCCGGCAGGUGAUGUUGGCGUGUCCGGCAGGUGUUUCUGGCGAGCUGUUCAGGUGGUUCCGGCGUUCUCGGCAGGUGAUUCUGGCAUUUCCCGCAGGUGGUUUCGGCCUGUCCGGCAGUGAGUUACUGCGUGUGCCACACGUGGUUCUAGUACGUCUGAGAGGUGGUUCCCGCAUGCCCAGCAGGUGAUUCCGGACUGUCCGCCACGUGGUUCUGGCACAUCGGAGAGGUGCUUCCGGCAUGCCCGGAAGGUGAUUCUGGAGUGUCCACCAAGUGGUUUUGGCAUAGCUGGCACGUGAUUUUGGCGUCUCAGGCAGGUGGUGCUGGCGUGUCCAGCAGGUGGUUCCGGCGAGCUCGGCAGGUGCCUCCUGUCUCUCCGGCACGUGGUUGUGGCACGUCAGAGGGGUGGUUGUGGCAUGACCGGCAGGUGAUUCCGGAGUCUGCGGCAUGUGGUUCUGGCACGUCUGAGAGGUGGUUCCGGCAUGCCCUGCAGGUGAUUCCAGAGUGUCUGGCAAGUGCUUCUGGCAUAGCCGGCUGGUGAUUUUGGCGUGUCCAGCAGGUGGCUCCAGCGAGUCGAGCAGGUUUUUUCGGCGUGCUCAGCAGGUGGUUCAGGCGGGUCCGGCAGGUGGUUCCGGUCUGUCCAGUAGGUGGUUCCGGUGUGUCCAGCAUGUGCUUCAGGCACAUCUGAUAGGUGGUUCCGGCAUGCCCGGCAGGUGAUUCCAUAGAGUCCUCCACGUGGUUCUGGCCUAGCCGGCAGGUGAUUCUGGUGUCUCCGGCAGUUGGUCCCGGCAAGUCGAGUAGGAGGUUCCAGCGUGCUCAGAAGGUGCAUCCGGUGUCUGUUACACGUGGUUCUGGCACGUCUGAGAGGUAGUUCCAGAAUGCCCAACAGGUGAUUCCGGAGUGUCCGGCAAGUGAUUCUGGCGUACCAGGAGGUGUUUUUGGUGUGUCCGGCAGGUGGUUCGGGCGUGUCGAGCAGGUGUUUCCGGCGUGCUCGGCAGGUGGUUCAGGCCGGUCCGGCAGGUGUUUGCAGUCUGUCCAUGACGUGGUUCCAGCAUGCCCGGAAGUUGAUUUUGGAGUGUCCACCAAGUGGUUUUGGCGUCGCCGGAACGUGAGUUUGGCAUGUCAGGCAGGUGCUUCCGGUCUCUCCAGCACGUGGUUGUGGCACGUCUCACAGGUGGUUCCGGCAUGCCCGGCAGGUGAUUCCGUAGUGUCCGACAUGUGGUUCUGGCACUUCGGAGAGGUGGUUCUGGCAUGCACUGCAGGUGAUUCCAGAGUGUCCAACAAGUGGUUCUGGCGCAGCACGCAGGUGAUUUUGGCGUGUCCGUUAGGGGGGUCCUGCGAGUCGAGCCGGUGGUUCCGGCAUGCUCGGCUCUUGGUUCAGGGGUGUCCUGCAGGUGGUUCCAGUCUGUCCAGGACAUGGUUCCUGCGUGUCCGGCACAUGGUUCUGGGACGUCUGAGAUGCGGUUCCGGCAAGGCUGGCAGGUGAUUUCGGAGUAUCUGCCAUGUUGUUCUGGCAUAGCCAGCAGGUGAUUAUGGCGUGUCCGGCACAUGGUUCCAACGAGUUGAGCAGGUUAUUCCGGUGUGCUCGGCAUGUGCUUCUGGUGUUUUUGUGGGGUGGUUCCGGCGUGUCAGGAAUGUGGUUGCGGCAAGUUU
Molecule: long non-coding RNA, 13679 nt
Organism: Equus caballus (horse)
Lineage: Eukaryota; Metazoa; Chordata; Mammalia; Perissodactyla; Equidae
Source: Ensembl